CGAUGGCUGCAUUCAUCAUGCUUGCUUGGGAGACAAACACUGAACAGAUGAUCUAAUGAGUGGCUUGACAAUGACAGUGGAAUACUUUGGAAACGUGGAAACAGAAACCCCAAAGGUCAACUAAUAGUGAUUGUGAAAGCCACUUCGAUCAAAACACACUGUUGAGUUUUAUGAGGAUGGCAGCCUACAUGAAUUGAUUUUCAUACUGUCAAACUCAAACUACAACAUCCUUAUUGGCUCUCCUAAUGUUCCUAGGCCCUGCAGUUCCACAAAAAUGUCCGUGUAAAAGGGCCCCAAGAUUAACUGAAACCUGACAUUCCUGGGAAUAGUUACGCCACUUUAUAGGUCCCCAAAGUUGGAGGCGGAGUGAAAAUUCUGGCAAACAGCAAACAAGUUUAUACCACAAAGAAGAAUAUACUUUCUCCUACCUGUCUAACUUUGGAAAAAGAUGAAUCUUUCAGCAGGUGACUCACAGACCCAGUUUCUGUAGGCUGGACUUUGACAAGGGGCUUAAACUUUCUGCACAAAUGAAACCAA
Molecule: long non-coding RNA, 537 nt
Organism: Rhinolophus ferrumequinum (greater horseshoe bat)
Lineage: Eukaryota; Metazoa; Chordata; Mammalia; Chiroptera; Rhinolophidae
Exons: 3
Source: RefSeq, a predicted model, not a curated record